This is a non-coding RNA of Salmo salar (Atlantic salmon), 54 nucleotides long. The record is from Rfam. NCBI's taxonomy places the organism in Eukaryota, Metazoa, Chordata, Actinopteri, Salmoniformes, Salmonidae.
CAAUAAAAUAAAUGAAAGUCGCUCUGGAUAAGAGCGUCUGCUAAAUGACUGUAC